RNAcentral lists this ribosomal RNA (432 nucleotides) under uncultured bacterium. RNAcentral's name for it is "bacterial SSU rRNA". It matches the Rfam family "Bacterial small subunit ribosomal RNA", at positions 28 to 507 of the family's 1533-position model. The record is from RNAcentral.
GAUGAACGCUGGCGGCGUGCUUAACACAUGCAAGUCGAACGAACCUUCGGGUUAGUGGCGGACGGGUGAGUAACGCGUGAGAAUUUGCCCUCAGGAGGGGGAUAACGGCUGGAAACGGCCGCUAAUACCCCAUAUGCCGCGAGGUGAAAUGAAUUUCGCCUGAGGAUGAGCUCGCGUUUGAUUAGCUAGUUGGUGGGGUAAAGGCCUACCAAGGCUUCGAUCAGUAGCUGGUUUGAGAGGAUGAUCAGCCCCACUGGGACUGAGACACGGCCCAGACUCCUACGGGAGGCAGCAGUGGGGAAUUUUCCGCAAUGGGCGAAAGCCUGACGGAGCAACGCCGCGUGAGGGAUGAAGGCCUUUGGGCUGUAAACCUCUUUUAUCAAGGAAGAAGAUUUGACGGUAAGGGAUGAAUAAGCCCCGGCUAAUUCCGUG